AUGACUUUGUAAGAGCUUUGCAAAGUCAAGGUUUGUUUUGGAUGACUUGGAUUUUAUGAAAUAAAAUAGGGUUUACAUUUUGAGUGAUUUCAAGAGUUUUGUAAUAGAUCUACAAGUAAAAAUUUGUGGAUUUAUGGUUAUAGUUGGGUUUAAAAUUUAUUAUGAAUUUGACCUUGAUCUAAUGGUUGAAUUGAGGAAUAUUGAGGUUUAAGUGGGUCAAAGUCUUAGAAAGUAGAAUUUUAGGUCUAGUGAGGGUUUUUAAGAUUU
RNAcentral lists this long non-coding RNA (267 nucleotides) under Physcomitrium patens. RNAcentral describes it as "long non-coding RNA (PPAT_LNC001099)". The record is from RNAcentral. Lineage: Eukaryota; Viridiplantae; Streptophyta; Bryopsida; Funariales; Funariaceae.